Molecule: long non-coding RNA, 1804 nt
Filed under: Mus musculus (house mouse)
Lineage: Eukaryota; Metazoa; Chordata; Mammalia; Rodentia; Muridae
Description: long non-coding RNA chr19:5042379-5044183
Source: RNAcentral
AAAACAAAAAAAAACUUCCUGGGGGAAGGAGUUAUGCCUUCCCCAUGGGAAAGACUUACAGAGCAGCAACCAGAGAUGUAGAAAUCACACCAGUGUGAACUAGAAGCAUCUACAUCCAAGAUGACCUAUUCUCUCUGGGGGCCUGGCAGUAUCAAUCUCUCGUUGUCUCCUUCCUUCUGAAAAUACCUUCCACCCUAACUCUUGGAUUUUCAAUCUGUUCUGCAGAGGUUUCUCCUCCUGCCUCCUUUGUUGACCUUGGGAAUUCCAACAGAGGCCCCUUCUCACAGUUCCGCCUGAAAAGUCAGACUGCACAAAGCCUAAAUAACUUGCCGUAUGUAGCUAGAGGAGCCUGGGUCUAGUGGAAGUUCACAUGCCUGUGUCCCUGGUCCCUUUUCUCACUUCUAGGUCUUUGUACUUGUUUUUCACUCUGCCUGGAAUGUUCCAUCUCAGGCGGCCUGGUCCUCACCUAGUCUGUCUCCCUCUGGAAGCUGUCACUGUAGCAGCAAGCUCCAGCUCCUGUGUAGACACCUCCCAUAACACCUUAAUUUGACUCUCUUCACACCAUUAUAAAGGUCUGCUUCUUUGCGUUUCUCCCAGAAAUUUGUCAUUUCCUCGAGGCCAAAGGCUGUCAUAGCUAUACUGUAGCAUCUGCCACAGUCCACGGUGACUGUUGGUGCCUGGCACACUUUAGGUGCUUAGUAAAUACUGGAUAAGUAGGAAGAAAGGUAGGGGAGGGGCUUAGUGUUCACUGUUUCUGAAAGGUUACCUAAGGCAAGCACUGGCAAAUGUUGGUGUUUGCUACAAGGAAAUUGAUUCGUAAUUCUGCCGCAGUGGUUUUAGUGUGAGUGCUGGGUAUCCAAACACUGAAAGAGGAGGAGGUGAAAGUCAGAAUAGCAAGUGUGCGCAAGGCCCAGAGAACUACAGAAAAUUAACUAAACGGGGCUGUUUCAUAUUUCUGCAUUCAUUCUUUUACCUACUCAUUUGGAUUUGACACAGCCUCACCAGCUAUUGCUAGCCUGAAACUAACUGUAUAUCAGGCUGGGCUUGAAUUUGUAGUAAUCCCCCUGCCUCCUGAAUGCUAAGAUAACAGGCCUGUACCACCUCACUUGGCUUUAUUUUUUUAUUUGUGUUUGUUUUUUCCAGAGAGAUCUAGUCUAGGUGCCUCUUCAGACAGCAAUCUACCACUGACCUGUACCCCCAGACAUACUGCUUUUGUGUCUUUUUAAGACAGAGCUUCGCUGUCUAACCCAGAAUGGCCUCCUGCGUCAGCGUGUGGAUUAUGUAUAUGAACCUCAUCAGGCUCUCUCUGCUUUUUAGUUUUUUUUUUCUCUCCAGUACUGGGAAUUGAGACCUAGAAUUGAAUUCUAGAAACACCUCGAACUCAGAAAUCCGCCUGCCUCUGCCUGUGCUGGGAUUAAAGGCGUGCGCCACCACGCCCGGCCUUCUUUUCCUUUUUUUAAAAGAUUUGUUUAUUUUAUGUAAAUGAGAACACUGUAGCUGUCUUCAGACACACCAGAAGAGGGCAUUGGAUCCCAUUACAGAUGGUUGUGAGCUACCAUGUGAUUGCUGGGAAUUGAACUCAGGGCCUCCGGAAGAGCAGUCAGUGUCCUCUUACCUGCUGAGCCGCCUCUCCAGCCCCUCCUGUUUUUCCUCAGGAAAACCCUGAGCUUCCGCAUCUGAACUUCCACAGAGGAAGGUGCUUCCUGUUCACGUCCUUAGGAGUGCUAGGGGCUUAGGAUAUUGCUCAGUGGUAGUUGGGGCUCAGCAUUUAUGGGAAUCUGAGUUCAAUCCUUAGUCCUUCACC